This is a long non-coding RNA of Tachysurus fulvidraco (yellow catfish), 431 nucleotides long. RefSeq lists it as uncharacterized. The record is from RefSeq and is a predicted model, not a curated record. The transcript has 3 exons. Lineage: Eukaryota; Metazoa; Chordata; Actinopteri; Siluriformes; Bagridae.
GUAAAAAUUCCUGUUGUUCUCAGUUCAUUAUUUAGUGUAACAUCACAUGACCAAGACCAAGUCAGGUUAGAUAGAAUAGUAACUGAUGGUCCAUGAUGUGUGAUCUGAGAGUUCUGCAGUAAAUCAGAAGAUCCUGACAUGGUGAUGAAGCUCCAGAGAUGAACAUCAGCUCAGUGGCUCAGGGAUGAAGUUUAAGAUGAUCUGAAAUCCAUCAUGAGAUCAGAGCACACCAUCUGAGAGAGGAGAGGAGAGGAGAGGAGAGGAGAGGAGAGGAGAAUUCAUUUACAGAAAUUCCACAGAGCCCCUUCCAUCCAUCUCCUCAUGUUGCCAACUCCAUGUGGUGUUUGAGGACAACAACCUCAUCAUUACAACAUUUAUCAACAUAUAUAUAUAUAUAUAUACAUAUAUAUAUAUUUAUUAUUAUUUAUUAU